Non-coding RNA from Prunus avium (sweet cherry), 944 nucleotides. The record is from RefSeq and is a predicted model, not a curated record. NCBI's taxonomy places the organism in Eukaryota, Viridiplantae, Streptophyta, Magnoliopsida, Rosales, Rosaceae.
UGUUGAAGGCUGAGCUUCACAACAUGGAAAGAACGCAGAAGAGGGAAGGAGUAGAUAUGACAUACCUGAAAAAUGUAAUCUUAAAGCUUCUUGAAACAGAUGCACAAGUGUCAACAAGCGUACCGAGCAUCCGGAGAUGUUCCUCCUAGUCCAGUGAGUGAUGCUUCAGGAUCUGCGACUUCUCUUUUCUCAAGAUUCUCAUUUUCAUGACCACAGAAGUGAGAUUGUAGAUGCACGGAAACUGGCUGCUCCAGCUAACCAACUGCUUGCCUCCAGAUUCAAAGGUGGAGGGUGCGGUCAUAGUAAAUCUUGUAUUCUUUUGUAACGGUGAACCCCUUGUUUAUCAACACUGUCCAGAAAAUGUAAAGUACGACAUAGCCAUUAUACGUCACGAAGAGAUAGAGAGAGGGUGAGUGAACAUUUUGGCCGGGAUCUGUAAGGAACCCCCUAUUCUCCAUUUAUUGUAGAGUGUAACAACAGAAGAGCAACGGUGUGAUUUUGGAGAUUAUAUUGGGACAAGAGUACCUAUCAGAAUGUUGAAGGCGCGGUUCUACGCAGCAUAAGAUUUUACGCAUAAUCCGAUAAUGGUACAGGAUAAAUCUCAAUAGUAGUCAGAUAGUAGAGCCUCCUCAGCGGCAGAUCUUUGUCUUCGACUAUGCCUUGUUCACGUUGCGAUACAUCUAUUGCCUUUGAAGUGAUGAGCUAUAUUUGUUUCCAUGGUAAUGAGUUGAGACCAUGACCAUCCAUUUUGCAUUCCACCAUCUAGAGACUUGAUCACCUCAGUUCAUCAUUCACUCUUGGUCUAAUGGGUGCUGAAGUAAAAAAGAAUAGAAAAUAGUAGGGGUGGGCAUAAAAACCGAUAAACCGAUCAAACCGACCGAACCAACCCAACCCAAACCGAAAAAGAGCGUUUUUUGACCAAACCGAAAAAGUCAAACCUGGAC